GAUGAACGCUGGCGGCGUGCCUAAUACAUGCAAGUCGAGCGGUAACACUUCGGGUGACGAGCGGCGGACGGCUGAGUAACGCGUAGGAAUGUACCCCAGAGUGAGGGAUAAGCACCGGAAACGGUGUCUAAUACCGCAUAACCUCUUCGGAGAAAAGCUUCGGCGCUUUGGGAACAGCCUGCGUAUGAUUAGCUUGUUGGUGAGGUAAAAGCUCACCAAGGCGACGAUCAGUAGCUGGUCUGAGAGGAUGAUCAGCCACAUUGGGACUGAGACACGGCCCAAACUCCUACGGGAGGCAGCAGUGGGGAAUAUUGGACAAUGGGGGCAACCCUGAUCCAGCCAUGCCGCGUGAGUGAUGAAGGCCCUAGGGUUGUAAAGCUCUUUUGUGCGGGAAGAUAAUGACGGUACCGCAAGAAUAAGCCCCGGCUAACUUCGUGCCAGCCGCCGCGGUAA
Molecule: ribosomal RNA, 453 nt
Filed under: uncultured bacterium
Lineage: Bacteria
Description: partial 16S ribosomal RNA
Rfam family: Bacterial small subunit ribosomal RNA
Source: RNAcentral